UCGGGAAUUUUGGACAAUGGGGGCAACCCUGAUCCAGCAAUGCCGCGUGAGUGAAGAAGGCCUUCGGGUUGUAAAGCUCUUUUGUCAGGGAAGAAACGGUAGUAGCGAAUAACUAUUACUAAUGACGGUACCUGAAGAAUAAGCACCGGCUAACUACGUGCCAGCAGCCGCAGUAAUACGUAGGGUGCAAGCGUUAAUCGGAAUUACUGGGCGUAAAGCGUGCGCAGGCGGUUGUGUAAGUCAGAUGUGAAAUCCCCGGGCUCAACCUGGGAAUUGCAUUUGAGACUGCACGGCUAGAGUGUGUCAGAGGGGGGUAGAAUUCCACGUGUAGCAGUGAAAUGCGUAGAUAUGUGGAGGAAUACCGAUGGCGAAGGCAGCCCCCUGGGAUAACACUGACGCUCAUGCACGAAAGCGUGGGGAGCAAACAGGAUUAGAUACCCUAGUAGUCCCUGAGCGGGCUGGCAAGGCGCAU
RNAcentral lists this ribosomal RNA (472 nucleotides) under uncultured bacterium. Its description in RNAcentral is "bacterial SSU rRNA". It matches the Rfam family "Bacterial small subunit ribosomal RNA", at positions 355 to 825 of the family's 1533-position model. The record is from RNAcentral.